This 497-nucleotide ribosomal RNA is filed under the name Bactrocera tryoni complex sp. PHEL-9. RNAcentral describes it as "partial 16S ribosomal RNA". It matches the Rfam family "Bacterial large subunit ribosomal RNA", at positions 1809 to 2573 of the family's 2925-position model. The record is from RNAcentral. Lineage: Eukaryota; Metazoa; Arthropoda; Insecta; Diptera; Tephritidae.
AAAAACAUGUCUUUUUGAGUUAUUUUAAAAGUCUGACCUGCCCACUGAAAUUAUUUAAAUGGCCGCAGUAUUCUAACUGUGCAAAGGUAGCAUAAUCAUUAGUCUUUUAAUUGAAGGCUGGUAUGAACGGUUGGACGAGGUAUAAGCUGUUUCAUAUAAAUUUAUAAUAGAAUUUUAUAUUUUAGUCAAAAAGCUAAAAUUUAAUUAAAAGACGAGAAGACCCUAUAAAUCUUUAUACUUUAAGUUGUUUAAAUUUUUUAGAUUAAUUUUAUUUUUAUAAUUUAGAGUAUUUUGUUGGGGUGAUAUUAAAAUUUAAUGAACUUUUAGUUGUUAAAAAUCAUUAAUUUAUGAGUUAUUGAUCCAUUAAUAGUGAUUAUAAGAUUAAGUUACUUUAGGGAUAACAGCGUAAUUUUUUUGGAGAGUUCAUAUCGAUAAAAAAGUUUGCGACCUCGAUGUUGGAUUAAGAUAUAUUUUUAGGUGUAGCCGCUUAAAUAUUA